Molecule: ribosomal RNA, 253 nt
Filed under: uncultured bacterium
Lineage: Bacteria
Description: partial 16S ribosomal RNA
Rfam family: Bacterial small subunit ribosomal RNA
Source: RNAcentral
CACGUAGGGCGCGAGCGUUGUCCGGAAUUAUUGGGCGUAAAGAGCUCGUAGGCGGCCUGUUGCGUCCGCUGUGAAAGCCCGGGGCUUAACCCCGGGUCGGCAGUGGAUACGGGCAGGCUAGAGGUAGGUAGGGGAGAAUGGAAUUCCCGGUGUAGCGGUGAAAUGCGUAGAGAUCGGGAGGAACACCAGUGGCGAAGGCGGCUACCUGGACCAGCACUGACACUGAGGCACGAAAGCGUGGGGAGCAAACAGG